AUUUUUGUCCCAGUUAAAGGUAAAUUUUUUCGAUAGAAAAAAUUGCAAGGGAAUCACGUUAAAAUCGUGAGCAGUACCCGCUGCUGUGAGUUCUUAUUUUUUUCGGAAUACCACGCCACUGUUCAUUUUAAUUGAAUGGGAAGGCUCACCGAAAAUAGAACAAGCCAGAAGACCUGCCUAAAACUAAAUUUUUCA
This 195-nucleotide non-coding RNA is filed under the name Bacteroidota bacterium. Lineage: Bacteria; Pseudomonadati; Bacteroidota. The record is from RNAcentral.